AAUCCAGUUUAGAAUAGAUCAUCGAACGGAAUUCUCAUCCUAAACCUAAAUCAAAAUGCGUUUCACCAUUGUCUUGGCUCUCUGCUUCAUUGGAGCUGCCUCUGCUAGCUCAUUGAACAAGCGAAGCUUCCUCGAUGAUAUCCAGAACAACACUCAAAAUGCUUUCCACGCUUUUGAAC
Tetranychus urticae (two-spotted spider mite) is the source of this 179-nucleotide non-coding RNA. NCBI's taxonomy places the organism in Eukaryota, Metazoa, Arthropoda, Arachnida, Trombidiformes, Tetranychidae. The record is from RefSeq and is a predicted model, not a curated record.